GUCGCACCUACCGAUUGAAUGGUCCGGUGAGGACUCGGGACUGUGGCCUUUGCUAUUCACUUAGUGAAGGCCGCGGGAACUUGUCCAAACCUUAUCAUUUAGAGGAAGGUG
This 111-nucleotide ribosomal RNA is filed under the name uncultured eukaryote. RNAcentral's name for it is "partial small subunit ribosomal RNA". It matches the Rfam family "Eukaryotic small subunit ribosomal RNA", at positions 1675 to 1785 of the family's 1831-position model. The record is from RNAcentral.